RNAcentral lists this ribosomal RNA (253 nucleotides) under uncultured bacterium. RNAcentral describes it as "partial 16S ribosomal RNA". It matches the Rfam family "Bacterial small subunit ribosomal RNA", at positions 524 to 776 of the family's 1533-position model. The record is from RNAcentral.
UACGUAGGCAGCAAGCGUUGUUCGGAAUUACUGGGCGUAAAGAGUGUGUAGGCGGUCGUGCAAGUCGCGUGUGAAAGCCCCCGGCUCAACUGGGGAGGGUCACGCGAUACUGCUCGACUCGAAGGCAGGAGAGGGAAGUGGAAUUCCCGGUGUAGUGGUGAAAUGCGUAGAUAUCGGGAGGAACACCAGUGGCGAAGGCGACUUCCUGGCCUGUUCUUGACGCUGAGGCGCGAAAGCUAGGGUAGCAAACGGG